This 1009-nucleotide ribosomal RNA is filed under the name Klebsiella pneumoniae. Its description in RNAcentral is "bacterial SSU rRNA". It matches the Rfam family "Bacterial small subunit ribosomal RNA", at positions 56 to 1056 of the family's 1533-position model. The record is from RNAcentral. Lineage: Bacteria; Pseudomonadati; Pseudomonadota; Gammaproteobacteria; Enterobacterales; Enterobacteriaceae.
UGACAGUCGAGCGGUAGCACAGAGAGCUUGCUCUCGGGUGACGAGCGGCGGACGGGUGAGUAAUGUCUGGGAAACUGCCUGAUGGAGGGGGAUAACUACUGGAAACGGUAGCUAAUACCGCAUAACGUCGCAAGACCAAAGUGGGGGACCUUCGGGCCUCAUGCCAUCAGAUGUGCCCAGAUGGGAUUAGCUAGUAGGUGGGGUAACGGCUCACCUAGGCGACGAUCCCUAGCUGGUCUGAGAGGAUGACCAGCCACACUGGAACUGAGACACGGUCCAGACUCCUACGGGAGGCAGCAGUGGGGAAUAUUGCACAAUGGGCGCAAGCCUGAUGCAGCCAUGCCGCGUGUGUGAAGAAGGCCUUCGGGUUGUAAAGCACUUUCAGCGGGGAGGAAGGCGGUGAGGUUAAUAACCUCAUCGAUUGACGUUACCCGCAGAAGAAGCACCGGCUAACUCCGUGCCAGCAGCCGCGGUAAUACGGAGGGUGCAAGCGUUAAUUGGAAUUACUGGGCGUAAAGCGCACGCAGGCGGUCUGUCAAGUUGGAUGUGAAAUCCCCGGGCUCAACCUGGGAACUGCAUUCGAAACUGGCAGGCUAGAGUCUUGUAGAGGGGGGUAGAAUUCCAGGUGUAGCGGUGAAAUGCGUAGAGAUCUGGAGGAAUACCGGUGGCGAAGGCGGCCCCCUGGACAAAGACUGACGCUCAGGUGCGAAAGCGUGGGGAGCAAACAGGAUUAGAUACCCUGGUAGUCCACGCCGUAAACGAUGUCGAUUUGGAGGUUGUGCCCCUGAGGCGUGGCUUCCGGAGCUAACGCGUUAAAUCGACCGCCUGGGGAGUACGGCCGCAAGGUUAAAACUCAAAUGAAUUGACGGGGGCCCGCACAAGCGGUGGAGCAUGUGGUUUAAUUCGAUGCAACGCGAAGAACCUUACCUGGUCUUGACAUCCACAGAACUUUCCAGAGAUGGAUUGGUGCCUUCGGGAACUGUGAGACAGGUGCUGCAUGGCUGUCGUC